UGUUGAUACUGCUAAUGAGAGAACUGAUUUUUGUGGUUUCUGUGAUCUGAUGUCUUUUCUGUACCAGGAACCAUAAUGAGACCACCAUUUCAUUUCACACAGGUCACCAAGAAGCCUCAGAUGAUAGAGAGAUGAGAUAUGCUUUAAUGAGGCAGAAGGUGGGGGGAGGAGGAGGAGAACAAAGUCUUGCACUUUGGAAGCAAGAAUGUUCCUUGUUUAUCACUCAAACCCUGGUGCUUUGGAUUGGUAGAGGAAGUGGCUUCUACUUGGAAGCUCUUCAUGCAAUUCACAGCAAAGGUUGCAUAAUCUCCCACAUGUAGGUGAUACCCAGCUUUAUGGAUCCAACUCUUCCCUAGUCAGAUCAGGUCCCAUAUUUGAUGUCCUGUUGAAGAGCAAACGAAGCAUUAUGAUGCUAUUUUUUGCAGCAUAGAAAUCUAUGGUGA
Molecule: long non-coding RNA, 443 nt
Organism: Gavialis gangeticus (Gharial)
Lineage: Eukaryota; Metazoa; Chordata; Crocodylia; Gavialidae
Exons: 3
Source: RefSeq, a predicted model, not a curated record